Non-coding RNA from Nothobranchius furzeri (turquoise killifish), 2160 nucleotides. Lineage: Eukaryota; Metazoa; Chordata; Actinopteri; Cyprinodontiformes; Nothobranchiidae. The record is from RefSeq and is a predicted model, not a curated record.
UUGCUGUAGUCAAAAAUGGCGUCUGGCGACAGCGCAAACAUCUUUCUUUGGAAGAAAGGCUUUUAGCACUUCUACUUGUUGUGGUUUUAAAGACGUGUCCAAGUCAUUUAGACCAGAGGAACGAGUCGCAGCGAACUCCGCUUCAGUCACCAUGUUUAUGACAAGCUCAGCGUCAUGGUGUGACGUACGCUACUCAGCACCGAUUGGCUAGGUUAGAAUUCUCAGGGGGCGGGGUUAUUUGAAUAGGAGAGUUCCCAGAUCCUUUCUCUGUGCAGAAUUAAACAGAGAAGGAGUCUGGCAGGCCAGGCUAGGUAAUUUGGGUAAUGACAGGGAAAUAAUAUUAUAUAAUAAUUUGACGCAGAGACAAAAAAAUAGUUUGUAAAAAUCAAUGUAUUACAAUAUUUCUAUUAUCAAUGAUGAUGAAAGGCAAACGAUUAUAAAUAAUAAUUGAUUGGUCUAAAGAAGGAUGGUUCUUUGAGCUGCUAAAUUGAGUCCACUGAAAAAGACCGGUUUGAUUCCCCAUAGGAUGGUCGUUUAGAUGAGCUGUGAGUUUAGGGUGAACUCGGAGCUCUGGCGGAACCGGGGAAAAUAGGAAGUGAGAUCACUUUUAAGAAGUGUUUGUUUCUAAACUUUGACCAACCAGAUCAGAUGCAUUUGUAAAGGCAUUUACCCAGACCCUCAGACGUCACACACUCCUCAUUCACUCAGAAGAGGCUUAUUCCACUUAAUGUCAAUUAAAUCUGUUAAACAUUAAUUUGUUAAUGUACUGUAGUGAUGAUUGAUGACUGCUACAUAUUUAUUAAAAAUGACCAAUGAGAUGUGAUAUUCCAGAUAAAUUUGAAAUAUCGAUCAGAUUGAUCGUUGAAUGUUUAAUCAGAAGAUUAUAGUUACUUUUUGUUUUAAAAUGUUUUACAAUCACUUAUGUGAAGUGACUAUUAACAUUAAUAAGUAUCUUAUUAAGAGUAGUCUCGUCUUCGGCGUGGACCAUGGCGUUUCCAGCACGUAAGGGAGGGGGAGAAGAAUGUUAUGGCUUACUCUUCCUGGUGGCGAGGCUAGGGAAGAUAAACAGGAGACUGUUUUGGUUGGAGGAGCACAUAAUAUUCCUGGCAGAAGAACUGCUGGACUGUCUGUUGAUCUUUAACGUUGCUGUGAACAAAUAACUUUGUUGGGCAUUUCCAACGCUAAAGCACUUGUUCCCACUGGCAAUGUGGGCUUCCGGUUUCAGCGGACGUGACCCAGGCAUGAUGUGGUGUUUCACUGUGAAACCAAUCUCGUCAUCAGGCCCUGGUCCUCUCCCAGAAGCUAGUCUCUGGUCUCCACUGGCUAGCACAGGAUAUGUGGCUUAGGCAACUGCUGUAAUGUAACAGACUUGGUAGUCCAGUGGUAAGAGUGGGUAAUGUACAUUGAUGUCUUCUAUUUUUUCUGUUAAACCAGAUUAUUCUGACUUCAGUAACCUGCUGGAGCAUGUUACAGACUCAGGAUCACCAUGGUAACACGAUAUGUCCUGCAGAAUAAUCAGAGCUGAGUCAGGACGUCUGAACAACAGAACCUUUACAACUUUGGUAUUUACUGCAAGACUGUUCAUUUGCAUCUGUUUAAUAUUAGUAAUUCAUCAUCUGAGGUCCAGCUGGGAUUAGAGUCUUUACUUGAAGACUGAACAAGAAAUUAAGAGUUAUUAAUGAUAAAAUAUCAGCAUAAAUUAAAAAAAAUAGCUGUAGAUCAGUAACUAAACAGUUACAGGUCACACUGCUGCCUGUACUUUGCAUUCAUGUCCAUCUUCAUGUUUCCAGAGGGUCUGAUCAUGAGUGGUGAUGAGCAGCAACCAGGUUGGUGGAAGCUGCAGGUGUGGUCAGUGAUGGAGUAAAAGCUGAACAUCCACCACAUCUGAGAGCUCCAUUCAAGACGCAGCAGACACCUGGUUCCAGCUGAAAGUGUGCAGUCUUCUUUGGUGGGUUCUGAUGUCAGAGAGAGGGAUCCUCAUGUCCUGAAGAAGUCUGGAGCCUGUUGAGCUCUCUGAAGCAGAAGUUCCUUUAUGGGGUCUCGUGGAUUUGAGAGUAAAAAUUGUCCAUCCCUGACUGAAAAUGUGCAGAUUAAACGUGCCACACAGUUUUCUGUUAUAAUGACCUCUGGCUUUAAAUAAAUAAAUAGAUACUGUCAUGA